AUACGUAGGGGGCUAGCGUUUAUCCGGAUUUACUGGGCGUAAAGGGUGCGUAGGUGGUCUCUUAAGUCAGGAGUGAAAGGCUACGGCUUAACCGUAGUAAGCUCUUGAAACUGGGAGACUUGAGUGCAGGAGAGGAAAGUGGAAUUCCUAGUGUAGCGGUGAAAUGCGUAGAUAUUAGGAGGAACACCAGUAGCGAAGGCGGCUUUCUGGACUGUAACUGACGCUGAGGCACGAAAGCGGUGGGGAUC
RNAcentral lists this ribosomal RNA (248 nucleotides) under uncultured bacterium. RNAcentral's name for it is "partial 16S ribosomal RNA". It matches the Rfam family "Bacterial small subunit ribosomal RNA", at positions 523 to 769 of the family's 1533-position model. The record is from RNAcentral.